Molecule: ribosomal RNA, 152 nt
Filed under: uncultured bacterium
Lineage: Bacteria
Description: partial 16S ribosomal RNA
Rfam family: Bacterial small subunit ribosomal RNA
Source: RNAcentral
UGAGGAAUAUUGGUCAAUGGGGGCAACCCUGAACCAGCCAUGCCGCGUGAAGGAAGACGGUCCUAAGGAUUGUAAACUUCUUUUGUACGGGGGUAAAGACAGAUACGUGUAUUUGUUUGAAAGUACUGUACGAAUAAGCAUCGGCUAACUCC